UACAGAGGGUGCUAGCGUUAAUCGGAUUUACUGGGCGUAAAGGGCGCGUAGGCGGCAAUUCAAGUCAUCUGUGAAAUCUCCGGGCUUAACCCGGAACGGUCAGGUGAUACUGUUUUGCUAGAGUGCGGAAGGGGCAAUCGGAAUUCUCGGUGUAGCGGUGAAAUGCGUAGAUAUCGAGAGGAACACCAAAGGUGAAGACGGGUUGCUGGGCCGACACUGACGCUGACAGCGCGAAAGCCAGGGGAGCAAACGGG
This 254-nucleotide ribosomal RNA is filed under the name uncultured bacterium. RNAcentral describes it as "partial 16S ribosomal RNA". It matches the Rfam family "Bacterial small subunit ribosomal RNA", at positions 524 to 776 of the family's 1533-position model. The record is from RNAcentral.